UACGUAGGGUGCAAGCGUUGUUCGGAUUUACUGGGCGUAAAGGGCGCGUAGGCGGCGCGUAAAGUCGGACAUGAAAUCAUUAGGCUUAACCUGAGGGCUGUGCCCGUUACUUACGUGCUUGGAGUGCGGGAGAGGCAAUCGGAAUUCUCGGUGUAGCGGUGAAAUGCGUAGAUAUCGAGAGGAACUCCGGUGACGAAGGUGGGUUGCUGGACCGACACUGACGCUGAGGCGCGAAAGCUAGGGGAGCACACGGG
Molecule: ribosomal RNA, 254 nt
Filed under: uncultured bacterium
Lineage: Bacteria
Description: partial 16S ribosomal RNA
Rfam family: Bacterial small subunit ribosomal RNA
Source: RNAcentral